CUCUUAUGAAGAAACCGUUCUUACGGAAGCCCAGAUGAGACAACUUGAGACAGGAUUCAGAAACGCUGAUUUUAGUAACCUUAACCCUCGGCCCUUGGUGGGAACUUCGGCUCUGUGGGAAUUAGUCUUUGGGGGACUGAUGGUCAUGCUGAAAUCUUAUUGCGUAGGAAAUUAAGUACAACAAAGAAGACCCGUCGUGAGAGGAGAGUGCGGAAGAAAUGCGAAGUCUACGGGAGGUGGCAGCUGCAGAAGCUUGGUGUUGGAUUUGGCGUUAGGAGACCGGGAGGAGCCCAGCUUCCGGUCCAGACGGUUAUCUUGUUGACUUGCACGACUGCAAACGCCCUGAGCUGCUUUUGCAGUCUGAAACAUCAGCGAUCCCAUCAAAAUAUUCUGUUUCUUGGGAUAUAAGAAACAUCCCAAGGCGGGCUGUAGAGCGAGAGAUUUGGACUCGAUUUAAAUACAGACAAAAUAGUAUGCAUUUACUAACACCACAUCUCACCCCCACGAAACUUGGUAAGGGCAGCAACAGAACUUUAUCUGCCAUAUGCACUCCUGUAUUCCUAUUACCAAAUAGUGCCAGGGACUAAGUGAAUAUUUGUCCAAUGAAUGAGUUUUAAGUAGGAAACGUUUGCAUAGAAUCAUUUUGUUUCUUUUGGAGUUCAAAUCUUCGGAUAUUUUACCCUUCCCAAUCCAAAGAAAAGUCUCUGAGUGAAGAGAUGGGAACAAAAUGUAAGUUAAAUAUGUUGCUUUAACAACUGUUUAUUGAACUCGUGCUAUAGACUAUAGAAUGAUGAGCAAAACCAGGCACAGUUUCGGCCCUGGAAGAGGAAAGGCAGGCAUAUAUUUAUCAAGUGGUCCAUAAAGCUGCUCUGGAGCCAAAAUAUUGCAGUCACAUCUCGGCAGCGACCUGCCCUCAGGUGGCAUUUUCAAGUCAUGGAGAAGGCGGAGAGAGAAGCAAUCAGCAGCCACCCACUGCAGCUGGAGACCCCAGAACUUGGUGUCUGCCUCCCAUGGCACUGGGAAGGCUGGAGGCAGGAAGAGGAAGACAGAGCUCUUACCAGGGGGAGGCAGAGAUGGCACAGCAAGAGACAUGCCCCCAGAAUGCCACCAAUGCCCCAGGACAGGCCCACCCAUGGGACCAGGUUAUCAGGGGCCCUGUGGGGAUGGGGUGGAAUCUGAGGGGUCAGCCUUCUUCCCCAGGCUGGGAGUGGGUGAGACGAGACUGGGGCCUCUAUGUCUGAGUGCCCCCCAAACCCAGCAGUCAUGUCGCGAGGAAACGAAAUCACGUUACUUCUUCCAGCUGAUGUUCCACUUGUUUCUUCUGUUGUUUCUGUGGGGAGAGUCAAAUAAGGUGAUGGAGGGUGGCCCCCUCAACUCUAUUCCCCAGACCAGGAAGCGGUAGGCAGGGGCCAGGAAUGGAUUUUAAAGGCAAAGUUCUCAGACAUAAUGGGAACACGAACCGGUAAACUCUCCUCAAGCUCCCAAGGACAGAGGAUUUGGGUCUUUGUUGGCUUUUGCCCACAGCCACAGAACUCAGUCUGAAUCUGGAAUCUCUUGAGAGGACAGCAACAUAAACCUCUAGAGAUGGAGUUUCAGAAAGGCCCCUCCUUCUGGCAGCUUGUGAUUUAGAAAAGUGGGUUCAUUCAAUAAACACUUACUGAGCACCUAUGGGCCAGGUACGGUUCUUCACAGCAGAUAUAGGAUGGAAAAGGACAGACAGGAGCCCUUAGCCCUGAGGUUUCCAUUCCCGGGGGCCUUUAAAUCUCAGACUCGAGAGCUAACAGAGACCUUUGAUACUCACUACCUCCUCUGGAAACACGAGCCCAAAAAGGAGAGGUGGCUUGUCCAGAAUCAAAGAGCAAAUUAGGGACUGAGUCAUGGCAGAAAUACGGGGCCCUUGACAACCAGUCAGGCUAGCACUUCCCCAAGAGGCAACAACCCCAGGGCGUGUGUAGCAAGGACUCGAGCAGGGGUGUCUGGAGAGGAGAGAGUCGGCAAAGAGGGCAGCAAAAGAAGAGCCAUGCUGCAU
Molecule: long non-coding RNA, 2029 nt
Filed under: Homo sapiens (human)
Lineage: Eukaryota; Metazoa; Chordata; Mammalia; Primates; Hominidae
Description: non-protein coding lnc-GOLGA8O-5:2
Source: RNAcentral